This 253-nucleotide ribosomal RNA is filed under the name uncultured bacterium. RNAcentral's name for it is "partial 16S ribosomal RNA". It matches the Rfam family "Bacterial small subunit ribosomal RNA", at positions 524 to 776 of the family's 1533-position model. The record is from RNAcentral.
UACGUAGGGUGCAAGCGUUAAUCGGAAUUACUGGGCGUAAAGCGUGCGCAGGCGGCUUUGCAAGACAGAUGUGAAAUCCCCGGGCUCAACCUGGGAACUGCAUUUGUGACUGCAAGGCUGGAGUACGGUAGAGGGGGAUGGAAUUCCGCGUGUAGCAGUGAAAUGCGUAGAUAUGCGGAGGAACACCGAUGGCGAAGGCAAUCCCCUGGACCUGUACUGACGCUCAUGCACGAAAGCGUGGGGAGCAAACAGG